AUAGCAGCGUCUGCUUCGGCAGGCUACCGAAAGGGCUGGUAAUACCGGAUGUGGUUGGUAGCACUGCGGUGCUUUUGAUCAAAGUUGGGGAUCCGCUUCGGCGGACCUAAUGGCCUGGGAGCGGCCCAUGUUCCAUCAGCUAGUUGGUAGGGUAAAGGCCUACCAAGGCGAUGACGGAUACCGGGGCUGAGAGGCCGAUCCGGCACAUUGGGACUGAGACACUGCCCAGACCCCCACGGGGGGCUGCAGUAACGAAUCUUCCGCAAUGGGCGAAAGCCUGACGGAGCGACGCCGCGUGUGGGAUGAAUUCCCUCGGGAUGUAAACCACUGUCAGGGUUAUGGAAAUAAACCGCAGUAAUACAGCGGGGCGUUGACCUAGCCCAAAGGAAGCCACGGCUAACUUCGUGCCAGCAGCCGCGGUAAUACGAAGGUGGCAAGCGUUGUUCGGAAUAACUGGGCUUAAAGAGCACGUAGGCGGCUGGUCAAGCAUUUUGUGAAAUCCCUCGGCUCAACCGAGGAAUUGCGAGGUGAACUGGCCGGCUUGAGCUGCAGAUGGGUGACUGGAACUCUAGGUGGAGUGGUGAAAUACGUAGAUAUCUAGAGGAACGCCGGUGGUGAAAACGGGUCACUGGCUGCAAGCUGACGCUGAGGUGCGAAAGCGUGGGGAGCGAACGGGAUUAGAUACCCCGGUAGUCCACGCCGUAAACGAUGGGCACUAGGUUCGGGGGAGUUUGACCUUUUCCGGGCCGAAGCAAAAGUACUAAGUGCCCCGCCUGGGGAGUACGGUCGCAAGGCUAAAACUCAAAGGAAUUGACGGGGGCUCACACAAGCGGUGGAGCAUGUGGCUCAAUUCGAGGCAACGCGAAGAACCUUAUCCUGGGUUUG
RNAcentral lists this ribosomal RNA (885 nucleotides) under uncultured bacterium. Its description in RNAcentral is "bacterial SSU rRNA". It matches the Rfam family "Bacterial small subunit ribosomal RNA", at positions 123 to 983 of the family's 1533-position model. The record is from RNAcentral.